UGUCUGUAAACUGUAACUAGCCUGGGGAGAGACAUGUUGUCUGUAACCUGUAACUAGCCUAGGGAGAGACAUGUUGUCUGUAAACUGUAACUAGCCUGGGGAGAGACAUGUUGUCUGUAACCUGUAUCUAGCCUAGGGAGAGACAUGUUGUCUGUAACCUGUAACUAGCCUGGGGAGAGACAUGUUGUCUGUAACCUGUAACUAGCCUGGGGAGAGACAUGUUGUCUGUAACCUGUAACUAGCCUAGGGAGAGACAUGUUGUCUGUAACCUGUAUCUAGCCUAGGGAGAGACAUGUUGUCUGUAACCUGUAACUAGCCUGGGGAGGGACAUGUUGUCUGUAACCUGUAACUAGCCUAGGGAGAGACAUGUUGUCUGUAACCUGUAACUAGCCUAGGGAGAGACAUGUUGUCUGUAACCUGUAACUAGCCUAGGGAGAGACAUGUUGUCUGUAACCUGUAACUAGCCUAGGGAGAGACAUGUUGUCUGUAACCUGUAACUAGCCUGGGGAGAGACAUGUUGUCUGUAACCUGUAACUAGCCUAGGGAGAGACAUGUUGUCUGUAACCUGUAACUAGCCUGGGGAGAGACAUGUUGUCUGUAACCUGUAACUAGCCUGGGGAGAGACAUGUUGUCUGUAACCUGUAACUAGCCUGGGGAGAGACAUGUUGUCUGUAACCUGUAACUAGCCUAGGGAGAGACCUGGCUGGCUUGCUUUAUUUAAAUGAAUGUAAUACACAUUGUUAUAUCCUUCUGGUUAAAUCCCAAAUGGCACCCUAUUCCCUACAUAGUGCACUACUUUUGACCAGGUCCCAUAGUGCUCUGUUCAAAAGUAGUGCACUUUAUAGGGAAUAGGGUGCCAUUUGGGCCAAAUAUAGGAUAAUUUGACUGUAGCCUUCUGCGUUGAGCAGAGACAACUUUUUCCUUGUUGGCACUUUAUCUGUUGGUUAGUAGGUGUUAUUAUAUUAUUGAACCUCUGGAGCCAUACGCUAUUGGGUUAGUCAGGCUGAUCAGCAAGUCUCAAUAAGGUGUUGGGAUCAACAAGUCUCAAUAAGGUGUUGGGAUCAACAAGUCUCAAUAAGGUGUUGGGUUAGUCAGACUGAUCAGCAAGUCUCAAUAAGGUGUUGGGUUAGUCAGGCUGAUCAACAAGUCUCAAUAAGGUGUUGGGUUAGUCAGACUGAUCAGAAAGUCUCAAUAAGGUGUUGGGAUCAACAAGUCUCAAUAAGGUGUUGGGAUCAACAAGUCUCAAUAAGGUGUUGGGUUAGUCAGACUGAUCAGCAAGUCUCAAUAAGGUGUUGGGUUAGUCAGGCUGAUCAACAAGUCUCAAUAAGGUGUUGGGUUAGUCAGACUGAUCAGCAAGUCUCAAUAAGGUGUUGGGUUAGUCAGGCUGAUCAGAAAGUCUCAAGCCUCAAACACCUUAGUAAUAUAUUCUGUCCAUGGACUCAUGUUACUCAUUUUCACUGGGGGGUGCGUCCCAAAUGUCAACUCAUUCUACAUUUGACCAGGGCCCAUAUGGGGGAAUAGGAAGUCAUUAAUGACCAGGGCCCAUAUGGGGGAAUAGGAAGUCAUUAAUGACCAGGGCCCAUAUGGGGGAAUAGGAAGUCAUUAAUGACCAGGGCCCAUAUGGGGGAAUAGUGUGUUCUCAGAAGGUGAAGCCAGUAGUGGCCUACUGGGCCGAGGCUUUGAUGUUGCUUUCCUGUGGCGUUACUUCUUUAUUUUAUCCUUGGUGGGGUUUAUUUUAUGUAAAUCAAGGAGACGUGCUUUUGAUUUGUCUGUUGAGUGUAAGGGGUUGUCCCAAAUGUCACCCUAUUCCCUAUGUAGUGCAUUACUAUGGGCCCUAUUCCCUAUGUAGUGCGCUACUAUGGGCCCUAUUCCCUAUGUAGUGCGCUACUAUGGGCCCUAUUCCCUAUGUAGUGCGCUACUAUGGGCCCUAUUCCCUAUGUAGUGCGCUACUAUGGGCCCUAUUCCCAAUGUAGUGCGCUACUAUGGGCCCUAUUCCCUAUGUAGUGCGCUACUAUGGGCCCUAUUCCCUAUGUAGUGCGCCACUAUGGGCCCUAUUCCCUAUGUAGUGCGCCACUAUGGGCCCUAUUCCCUAUGUAGUGCGCUACUGUGGGCCCUAUUCCCUAUGUAGUGCUCUACUAUGGGCCCUAUUCCCUAUGUAGUGCUCUACUAUGGGCCCUAUUCCCUAUGUAGUGCUCUACUAUGGGCCCUAUUCCCUAUGUAGUGCACUAUAAAUGGAAUAAGGUGCCAUUAGGGAGACAAGCCAUCUCAGAACAUACGCUGUUAAACCAUUGAGUACAUAACUGUGCUGUUACAUAUUUAUAUAAUUUGUAAGUAUGCAUAUUGUAAUUAUUUUAUAUUUGUAUACAUGCACUAGUUUAUAAGUGUGCAUUAUUUUUUCGGGACAUGAAUCAAACUGACGUGUAAAAAAGUUGAAAAAAAUAAAGUACUUUUUUUGUUAACCUGUCUCUGUCUGUUUGUCUGGUCUGUUUGUCUGGUCUGUUUGUCUGGUCUGUUUGUCUGGUCUGUUUGUCUGGUCUGUUUGUCUGGUUUGGUCUGUCUGGUCUGUCUGUCUGGUCUGGUCUGUUUGUCUGGUUUGGUCUGUUUGUCUGGUUUGGUCUGUCUGGUCUGUCUGUCUGGUCUGUCUGUGUCUGGUUUGGUCUGUUUGUCUGGUCUGUCUGUCGAUCUUUGGCCAGGAUUCAAUCCAAGGCACGUUACAGGUCGACACUCUAAACAGCCGACAACGCUCCUCUAAAGGCAAUGUCCCCAGCGUUCACGGAGAUCACAUUCAUG
Molecule: long non-coding RNA, 2790 nt
Filed under: Salmo salar (Atlantic salmon)
Lineage: Eukaryota; Metazoa; Chordata; Actinopteri; Salmoniformes; Salmonidae
Description: lncRNA (ENSSSAG00000102842.1, ENSSSAG00000111594.1)
Source: RNAcentral